AAAAUGACUCUCGGCAACGGAUAUCCCGGCUCUCGCAUCGAUGAAGAACGUAGCGAAAUGCGAUACUUGGUGUGAAUUGCAGAAUCCCGUGAACCAUCGAGUCUUUGAACGCAAGUUGCGCCCGAAGCCGUCAGGCUUAGGGCACGUCUGCCUGGGUGUCACGC
Molecule: ribosomal RNA, 164 nt
Filed under: Daucus durieua
Lineage: Eukaryota; Viridiplantae; Streptophyta; Magnoliopsida; Apiales; Apiaceae
Description: 5.8S ribosomal RNA
Rfam family: 5.8S ribosomal RNA
About the family: 5.8S ribosomal RNA (5.8S rRNA) is a component of the large subunit of the eukaryotic ribosome. It is transcribed by RNA polymerase I as part of the 45S precursor that also contains 18S and 28S rRNA.
Source: RNAcentral